GAUGAACGCUGGCGGCGUGCCUAAUACAUGCAAGUCGAGCGAACGGACGAGAAGCUUGCUUCUCUGAUGUUAGCGGCGGACGGGUGAGUAACACGUGGAUAACCUACCUAUAAGACUGGGAUAACUUCGGGAAACCGGAGCUAAUACCGGAUAAUAUUUUGAACCGCAUGGUUCAAUAGUGAAAGACGGUCUUGCUGUCACUUAUAGAUGGAUCCGCGCCGCAUUAGCUAGUUGGUAAGGUAACGGCUUACCAAGGCAACGAUGCAUAGCCGACCUGAGAGGGUGAUCGGCCACACUGGAACUGAGACACGGUCCAGACUCCUACGGGAGGCAGCAGUAGGGAAUCUUCCGCAAUGGGCGAAAGCCUGACGGAGCAACGCCGCGUGAGUGAUGAAGGUCUUCGGAUCGUAAAACUCUGUUAUUAGGGAAGAACAAAUGUGUAAGUAACUGUGCACAUCUUGACGGUACCUAAUCAGAAAGCCACGGCUAACUACGUG
RNAcentral lists this ribosomal RNA (497 nucleotides) under uncultured bacterium. RNAcentral describes it as "partial 16S ribosomal RNA". It matches the Rfam family "Bacterial small subunit ribosomal RNA", at positions 28 to 507 of the family's 1533-position model. The record is from RNAcentral.